GGAUAAGGUAGGGAAACUUACGCUAAUACCGGAUACGCCCUACCUGUGAAAGCAGGGGAUCUUCGGACCUGGGUUGAUUGAAUGAGCCGAUGUCGGAUUAGCUAGUUGGCGGGGUAAAGGCCCACCAAGGCGACGAUCCGUAGCUGGUCUGAGAGGAUGAUCAGCCACACUGGAAAUGAGACACGGUCCAGACUCCUACGGGAGGCAGCAGUGGGGAAUAUUGGACAAUGGGCGCAAGCCUGAUCCAGCCAUACCGCGUGGGUGAAGAAGGCCUUCGGGUUGUAAAGCCCUUUUGAUGGGAAAGAAAUCCAGCCGGCUAAUACCUGGUUGGGCGGACGACACCCACGGAAUACUCACCGGCUAACUUCGUGCCAGCAGCGGCGGUAAUACGAAGGGUGCACGCGUUACUCGGAAUUACUGGGCGUAAAGCGCGCGCGGGUGGUCGUUUAAGUCGGUUGUGAAAGCCCUGGGCUCCACAUGGGGACUGCAGUGGAUACUGGACGACUAGAGCGUGGUAGAGGGUAGCGGAAUUCCCGACAGCAGUGAAAUGCGUGUAGAUCUGGAGGAACAUCCAUGGCGAAGGCAGCUACCUGGACCAACACUGACACUGAGGCACGAAAGCGUGGGGAGCAAACAGGAUUAGAUACCCUGGUAGUCC
Molecule: ribosomal RNA, 658 nt
Filed under: Stenotrophomonas sp. PaPiEm3-7
Lineage: Bacteria; Pseudomonadati; Pseudomonadota; Gammaproteobacteria; Lysobacterales; Lysobacteraceae
Description: bacterial SSU rRNA
Rfam family: Bacterial small subunit ribosomal RNA
Source: RNAcentral